AGGACGAACGCUGGCGGCGUGCUUAACACAUGCAAGUCGAGCGGAAAGGCCCUUCGGGGUACUCGAGCGGCGAACGGGUGAGUAACACGUGAGUAAUCUGCCUUCAGCUCUGGGAUAGCUCCGGGAAACCGGGAUUAAUACCGGAUAUGACCACUUCGGACAUCUGUUGUGGUGGAAAGUUUUUCGGCUGGAGAUGAGCUCGCGGCCUAUCAGCUUGUUGGUGGGGUAAAGGCCUACCAAGGCGACGACGGGUAGCCGGCCUGAGAGGGCGACCGGCCACACUGGGACUGAGACACGGCCCAGACUCCUACGGGAGGCAGCAGUGGGGAAUAUUGCGCAAUGGGCGGAAGCCUGACGCAGCGACGCCGCGUGGGGGAUGAAGGCCUUCGGGUUGUAACCCCUUUCAGCAGGGACGAAGCGCAAGUGACGGUACCUGCAGAAGAAGCGCCGGCUACUACGCGCCAGCAGCCGC
This 472-nucleotide ribosomal RNA is filed under the name uncultured bacterium. RNAcentral describes it as "SSU rRNA". It matches the Rfam family "Bacterial small subunit ribosomal RNA", at positions 26 to 518 of the family's 1533-position model. The record is from RNAcentral.